UGCAGAAUCCCGUGAACCAUCGAGUCUUUGAACGCAAGUUGCGCCUGAAGCCGUCAGGCCGAGGGCACGCCUGCCUGGGUGUCACCC
RNAcentral lists this ribosomal RNA (87 nucleotides) under Parnassia trinervis. RNAcentral's name for it is "partial 5.8S ribosomal RNA". It matches the Rfam family "5.8S ribosomal RNA", at positions 73 to 154 of the family's 154-position model. Rfam says of the family: 5.8S ribosomal RNA (5.8S rRNA) is a component of the large subunit of the eukaryotic ribosome. It is transcribed by RNA polymerase I as part of the 45S precursor that also contains 18S and 28S rRNA. Functionally, it is thought that 5.8S rRNA may be involved in ribosome translocation. Lineage: Eukaryota; Viridiplantae; Streptophyta; Magnoliopsida; Celastrales; Celastraceae. RNAcentral also lists the same sequence under 1 other name. The record is from RNAcentral.